ACCUACGGGGGGCAGCAGUGAGGAAUAUUGGUCAAUGGGCGCGAGCCUGAACUAGCCAGGUCGCGUGAGGGAAGACGGUCCUAUGGAUUGUAAACCUCUUUUGUCGGGGAGCAAAAGACGCCACGCGUGGCGUUCCGAGAGUACCCGAAGAAAAAGCAUCGGCUAACUCCGUGCCAGCAGCCGCGGUAAUACGGAGGAUGCGAGCGUUAUCCGGAUUUAUUGGGUUUAAAGGGUGCGCAGGCGGAAGAUCAAGUCAGCGGUAAAAUUGAGAGGCUCAACCUCUUCGAGCCGUUGAAACCGGUUUU
RNAcentral lists this ribosomal RNA (305 nucleotides) under uncultured bacterium. RNAcentral's name for it is "bacterial SSU rRNA". It matches the Rfam family "Bacterial small subunit ribosomal RNA", at positions 337 to 640 of the family's 1533-position model. The record is from RNAcentral.